CACACGCUUUAAAUACCGUAUGACUUACAUACAGACUCUAUUUCACUCAGUGACACAUCAUGGGAUGCUCAGGGCUGUUGAUUUUGGGUCUUGUCCUGAAUGUUGCUCACUGCCUGGAAACUCUGGGACAGAGUGACAUGAUUAUUGAGAGCAAGGAAAGCAUCACGGCAGUUCUGGGAGACGAUACCUACUUGAGCUGUAGAUAUCUGGGCGGGAGUCAGAUCCAAAAGGCCGCAUGGAAACGCCAGGUUAACUCCAUAUUCAAAUCCAGGGCGCUGGCAGGAAUUUCAGGGAAAGGGCCGUUUGGGAACGCGGUGCUCUCAGAACCAGAGUCUCUCACCAACCUGACAGUCAAGAUGAACGUGUCCGGUGUGGAGUUGGAGGGAGAGUAUAUCUGUGAGUUUGAAUCGGAGGAAGAGGAUUCUUUCGCUAGCAGAACCUUUGUCACCAUCCUGGUUCGGCCUAUUAUACAGGUUCUAGUGGAUGCAGAGACCAUCAACGGCACCCACUACCAGUCGGUGUCGUGCUCUGCCAUCGGUGGCCGCCCCCCCCCACAGAUCCGCUGGCUGAUCGAUGGCCUUCCUGUCACACACCACCUCUUCACUGUCAACGCAAGUACAGCCGCUCACUCGAACGGAACCUCCACCCUGAGCAGCGUCCUCCGCUUCCCCACCCACCUGCAGGACGACGACCGCGUGACCUGCGAGGUUCAACACCCGACCCUCCCAAGCCCCGCGCUCACCACAGUCAGGGUGGAAACCUACGCGAGGCCGAACGUGAGCAUUGAGGCGGCGAUGGUGCAGCGGGGAGGAACUGAGUUCUGGGUGGUCUCCUGCCUUUCGUCUGGAGGGAGACCUGACGCUGACAUCUCCUUGGCUUUGAACACCGACGAUGAGCUGCGGCGAGAGAACAACACAGACUCAGACGCACAGAGGAGCUCUGUUUACCUCCCUGCGACACGGUACGAAGGCCACAAUGUCACCUGUGCGUUCGUUCAUCCCAAAUUCACACACCCAGAGACGCGAGUCAAAACGCUGCCCUCUUUUUACCUGACUGGAGCUCGGCUGAUGGACUCAGGAAUCAAAAACGGUGACCUUCAAGGCAGCGACUGGUUGAAGCUGCAGGAGGGACAGAGGGACGUUGUCAUCGGCCUGCAGGUCACUGGAAAUGUGCCGCGUUACAAUGUCACCUGCAAAAAGGACGACGGCCUCUUACCGGACGGCGUUGAGCUGGUUGACGGCCGCCUCGCGGUUCAGGGUCCGGUGGAGCAUCGCCAAGCGGGCCCGUAUGAGUGCACCUUCUCCUAUCACCACCAUAGAGCAACGCUGCACUUUAACAUCACGGUGAACCCUCGACCUGCUCGGCUCGUGGAACCCGCCAUAGAAGCGUACUGGUGGAGAGACGGCGGACGCAGGGUGAUUGAGUGCUCAGCAGCUGAUGCUGUUCCUGCAGCCAACAUGUCCUGGCUGCUACCAGAGGGUGUGUCUGGAGACUCUUGGUUCAAUUUCACUUCUCAUAAUGGAAGCCAGUCUGUGAGGGGAGUGUUCCUCCUCCCCGCCUGCCUGCCCUGGGAGCUCACUGCAGUGUGUGUGAUAAAUCACGCAGCUUUUGAGAAGCCAGAAAACAGAAGCAUAACACUCCCUAUGUGCGGUACUGUAUGUUCUACUGAGAGAUGCCUUUGUCUGACUAGUGGCCAUAGGUUUCAUCUCACUUCCUGCGCUUCGACUCCCGUUUCCAACACAGCUCGCCCCAACGUCACCGUCAACUCCAGCACAGACUGGAAAGACGGCGAGAGGUUCACAACGGUGCAGUGCUCUGCACACAGCGUGGCCCCCGCAGCAGCUCUAACCUGGCGCGUGGGGGGCGGUGAUGACAUCAUCAGCGGUCUGACGGAGACCGACGUGCGGGAUGAGAGUUUGGUUUGCGUUCGUAGCUCCGUGCGGUUCUCGUCCGCCGCGUACGCUGGUCGGAAUGUGACCUGCGUGGUGCAGCAUCCGAGCCUGGAGCAGCCGGAGAACAGAAGCAUACACAUCCCUGUGCACAAAGCCCCCGAGCUGAGCGUGUCUGUGAUGAGGCAGCAGCACUCCCGCCUCUGGCUGGCCGUGUGUGAGUGCACGGCGGAGGAUGUCAGGGCCCACCUCGCCUGGGUUGUUCCUGAAAAUGUCAAAGGUCAAACCACCCUGCAGUCAGAGUUUGAGGGGCAUGCUACGAAAGCCAGGCUGACUUAUCAGUUUCCACUGGAAUCUCACGAGGGGCAGGACCUGACCUGUGUGUACCAGUUGGAACACGGGGCCACAGAGGAGCGGAGUGUUCGUAUUCCCAAAUAUCGUAUCACGGCUGUGAGAGUCUUGAACCACACGACCCCUCUGCGCAGCCGCAGCGGCGCGGCCCUCAUACAGCGACUGUCUCUGGAGGAAAAUCAGCGCAACCAGAAAAUCCUGCUCCAGGUGGACGGCAACGUGCCACAGUAUGAGCUGAGCUGCAAAAGGGCCGACGGCUCGUUUGUCCACAUGGAGGGGCUCAAGAUGGCCUUCCAGGCGGCGAUCACGGAGCGGGACGAAGGCCUGUACACCUGCACGGCGUCUUUUUACCACCACACAGCUCAGGUCCAGUUCCACGUGGAGGUCAUGUGUGAGGAGAAGCUGUUGGCACUGGUCUCCGUGAUCGGCACCUCCUCGGCCGCGGCCGUCGCCAUCUUGGCCAUCGUGGCGCUCUGGGUCUGCUGGUGAGUCCCACGCCUCCACAGGUGAUGGAGGUGACGCUCCGACGGGCAGAUGUAGGCCAGCGCCGCCAGCGCCACACGCCGCGAGAUAAACAGGAUGUGCAGCUCACUAGUUGAAACCCCAGUUUCACAAACAGGAAGCAGUGUGGCUUAAGCAGACAGGUGCCGGUGCCACCGCAGCCCUGUUUGUAGGCAGGUAGACGACGUUCCUUCUGUUACUGUGAACAACAGAUUUAUUUCCAGUUUCCUGCUCUGGUUUUUAGCAGCGUUACAUUAGAUCGCUGUUCGUUGGCCCAUCAUCAUCCAUGCACAGUAAAAAGUGAAGGUAAAGGGGGUCAGAAAGUCCACAUCUUUAAGUUAAGGAAGUUAUUAGUAUAAUGAAAUUCAAGCUGCUGUUCAUCAAUGAAGAAACCCACAAAUUCAUCUCUUAAUCUUAUUGCUGCUGGAAAAAAUCAGUGAGUCACUCGUCUUUUACGACUGAUGUGGGAUGUCUGUCACCAUCCGAGAACUGUUUAUGGUUUCUGCCUGCAGACGUUUCCACAUUACCACAAUCAAAGCCAAAAUCUUAACUUUUCUCAAGAAUGUUUAUCGGGAUCAGGUCAGGCCUCGCUGAGAAGAGCGCUGCCGUGCGCUGCACAGCAGGCGACUAGGCCGGUCUCUGCGGUCAGAGCGUCUGGUCAAGGUGCCAUUGGCUGCUGGAGCCCGUGUGCCAGCAUCCUUUGCUCCAGUGGAAGGGUCCCGUCAGGCUAAUUUAGGAAGGUCAGUCACAGCAUACAACAGGCCACACAAGAAAGUAUGACUCCCCCGAGAGGAGCGCUAUUCUGGGGCCAACGUCAGAGCUGGGGACACGCUCUAACAGCAGCAGGUCUUCAGCGGUUGAUGUCACAUCAGAGAUCACAAAAUACACAGGAGGACAACGUUUAAGAACCAGGAGUCGCUCUCAACUUUCCUGAUGCAGGAGCCCGGGUCUCCUGAGGGGAAAAGGCCGGGAGAAACACAAGCAGACAGCAAGGAGUACGCACAUCUGGUCAGUUACUC
RNA transcript from Betta splendens (Siamese fighting fish), 3760 nucleotides. RefSeq lists it as uncharacterized. The record is from RefSeq and is a predicted model, not a curated record. NCBI's taxonomy places the organism in Eukaryota, Metazoa, Chordata, Actinopteri, Anabantiformes, Osphronemidae. The transcript is spliced from 13 exons.